Nycticebus coucang (slow loris) is the source of this 2271-nucleotide long non-coding RNA. RefSeq lists it as uncharacterized. The transcript is spliced from 3 exons. NCBI's taxonomy places the organism in Eukaryota, Metazoa, Chordata, Mammalia, Primates, Lorisidae. The record is from RefSeq and is a predicted model, not a curated record.
UGUAUUUAAAUAAAGAGAAAACAAGGGGCCAGCCUUCUGGCUCACACCUAUAAUCCCAGCACUCUGGGAGGCCGAGGCGAGAGGAUCACCUGAGCUCAGGAUUUGGAGACCAGCCUGAGUAAGAGUGAGACUCCAUCUUUACUAAAAAACCAGCUGGGCAUCAUGGCAGGCACCUAUAGUCUCAGCUAUCCUGGAGGGUGAGGCAAGGGGGUCACUUGAACCCACGAGUUUGAGGUUGCUGUGAGCUAUGACGAUGCCAUGGCAGUCUACCCAGGGCAGUGAGACUGCCUCAAGAACAAACCAGUGAGAAGAAAGACAGACACAGAAGGAACGUAAAGGUGAUUCUGAUGCACUGCUGAUUUGAGAGAAAUCUGCUAAAACCGGUGCCAGCUGUAACCCAGGGCAGAGGAGGCCCUCUGCUACCUUUAGAUAAUUUGUUACUGCUUUCCAUGGAUCUCCCCCCAUCAACCAACCAAGUGUGUGAAGUAAGCAGAACUCCUUUGGGACUUGAAGUGGACCGUGGGAGUAGGAGAAGCACGGUUGUGUUUUUGGAAGCUUCCAGGCUAAUAGCAGAGACAGUCCACUUCAUCCUCACCUCUUUCUCAGGUCACAGACUGAAAAGAGCCAACUAAUUUGUAAAAAGCUUUCCUCUCCAAUGCACCACACCCGUUCCCUCUCCUUGAGUAAUUGGCUUUCAGCACAUUGGCUUCCAGAAUCUACCACAGCCACCUUGGAAGAAUAUGUAAGGACAAGCGCCACUUAUCCUUUUAUCUUCCCUGCAUCUGCACAUAAUGAACAUUCCUGGACUUGACGUGAGAUAGGACCAUGCAGUGACCGGGGGCUUUGUGGUUUGCUAUAAGUCUUGGGCUAUGAAAUAGAAGGCUUAUAUCACUGAGGACUUGGUGGAUUUUUCUCUGUGUCCUGGGAUCCCGUACAGUAGAACCUCUGAAAACUGAUCACCCAAGGGACUGUUACCAUACGGAACUAGACCUUUGUGUAUGUGGUGAAUGUGCUGUCUAUAAAAAUUAGGUCAUCUUAAGGAGCUGAUCAAUGUAGGAAAGUGGUCUACUGUGGAGGUUCUGCUGUAUGUUCAAAGUUAUUUGGGAGAAACUGGGAAAUCCUGAGAACCAAGGAAGGAAGGAACCGGACAGGAGGAGAACUGAUGGGCCCAGGGAGAUACUUGUGUCUGUAAUUGUGUACAAUUCAUUUCUCUCAGAUCUCUCAUAGCAUCUUGAACUUAGGACACACUCAAUACAUUCUUUACACGAAAUGAAUUAGACAUCCCUCAGUGCCUUAAAGGGUUAACUUAAAUACCCAGAGCUGCAGAGAGAUGAAUCGCCACAGGGGGGCGACAGAGUCCAGAAGGUGAGAGAAGCAGCAGGUGCGCAGAGGUAGGGGUAAAUUUGGCAAGGGUGCUAAACUGAACCUUAAAAGGAAGAGGGAAAAUGAGACUAAAAUGACUUUUAGAUCCAAGGAGCGUGUGGGCUCUCUCCCUGGGUGUGAUGAAAUCUGAGGAGGUGGCUGGACUUCAAAUUUGAUUCUGAGCCAGUGAAGGACUUGGUCUCCUAGAUCACUGGGGGAGUCUCAGUGACUCACAUUUUCUCAAGCAAAGAUGAAAAAUGACAAGCAUUCCCAGAUUUCCCCUGCUGUCCAAAGCCCAGCAAGACCCCAAAGGAAAGAUAACAUUGUUCCUUCAACAAAGUGUCUACGGAAAUGUGGGGAAGUUCCCAGCUCCAAUCAGCCAUAAAUUGACACCGAAAACAGACUCACAGGCCAAAUAUCUUGUACUGACAGUUCUCCAGUCUCUUCAGUCUCCAAACAAUAGAAUGCCAUGGGCGAGAGACCGAUACCCUGGGGGACUUAGGGAGAGGAGGUCAGUUUCCUGUCAGUUCUCUGCACCAAUUAUUUGCUUACGCAUUCCUCUUCCCCCUUGGACUGUUAAUCCUCUGGUGUGGAGAACCAAGCUUCAUUCAUACAAAUUUAAUUCAUUACUUUAUGUAUGUUAUAAAUGUUUCCUGAGCUCUGACCAUGUGCCAGUCACAAAAGAGAAAAGACAGUUGCAUAAAUGCAGCUUAUUUUCUAUGGUGUAAGGAAGGGGGUUGACGGGCAAUAAAUUGGUGAGCAAAUAAACAAGACAAGUUUAGCAUGUGAUAAAUGGUACAAUGGAAACAUCUCAGGUGAAUUAAUAGGGAAUAACAGGGUGUGCAGGGUAGCUAGGACUACAUCCCCCUGCAUGUCAGGGAAGGUCAGUCUUUAGGGAGGUGAUAUUUG